Molecule: ribosomal RNA, 525 nt
Filed under: fungal sp. AM2013
Lineage: Eukaryota; Fungi
Description: eukaryotic LSU rRNA
Rfam family: 5.8S ribosomal RNA (bases 152-305)
Source: RNAcentral
AACAUACCUAUAGUUGCUUCGGCGGGACCGCCCCGGCGCGCCCCCUAGGGGGCUUGCCCGGAACCAGGCGCCCGCCGGAGACCACAAACUCUUGUUUUUUCCCGCACACGCGGCAGUAGAUUCUCUGAGUGGCAAACGCAAAAUAAAUCAAAACUUUCAACAACGGAUCUCUUGGCUCUGGCAUCGAUGAAGAACGCAGCGAAAUGCGAUAAGUAAUGUGAAUUGCAGAAUUCAGUGAAUCAUCGAAUCUUUGAACGCACAUUGCGCCCGCUAGCACUCUAGCGGGCAUGCCUGUCCGAGCGUCAUUUCAACCCUCAGACCCCCUUCGGGGGACUGGCGUUGGGGGAUCGGCCCGCCUCAGUGCGGUGCCGUCCCCCAAAUACAGUGGCGGUCUCGCUGCAGCCUCCCCUGCGUAGUAGCACACCUCGCAUCGGAGAGCGGUGAGGCCACGCCGUGAAACCCCCAACUUCUGAACGUUGACCUCGGAUCAGGUAGGAAUACCCGCUGAACUUAAGCAUAUCAUAA